ACGAAGUUCCCGAGCGGAGCGCUGGCCGGCCGGGCGCGCUGCGCGGCGAGCCCCGGCUCCCACCGCCCUCCUUCCACCUCCCGGCUCGCACCCGGGGCCGCGCACGGCCAGCCGGCUCCGCGGCUUCACCUUCGGGACAGGCCCCCUGUAAGUGUUGCAAGGACAUGACAAAGUCUCUGCAGAGACUUCACCAGAACAGAGUCAACCACCCUCUGGUUUCAUAGUCAGUGGAGGGAUUCCUGCACCUUCUCUCUCUGCAUCACUCAGAUGUUUUUGCUGUGUUCUGAUGAUAUUAGAGUAAAUCACGCAAUGUUAUGCUGGCUUUUUGGUGAUGACCAUCCAGAAAGUAAAACAACUACAACAACAACAAAAGAAAAACCAGAAGUCAAGAGACUGUGAUUUCUGCUUUUUCAAGUUUUUUUAUACCCAGGACGUCAGCCACAUAACUUCUCCCCAUGUUAAUGGCCUUAUGUAACUAAAGCCCUUUUCACAUGUUUGGGACAGUACUUACAGUGCUGUAAUGUAUUUGUGGGACUGCUUGUCCACACAACAAAUAUUCCCUAAAAUGUGCUCAGGGGUCUGAAUCACAAAAGGGAAUGGUUCAUUUUAUGACCCGUUUUGUGGCUGCUGUCUCCAGCUGUCCUUUGGACAUCUCUGCAGAGCUGCCUCAGUCACCAAUUUGCAGCGGAGGAAAUCCAGACUUGGUACAACCUCACCUCAGUGCAAGCCACAGACUGUGAGCAGCUGCCACGUGGAGAGAGGAGACAACACCACAGCAAGUGUGGAAGGAGGGCAGCGUGGACCUCUGCCUGAGAGAUCACUACUCAUCAUGGACUGAGUCAUCUGUGUUUAUCAGCCACAGCCCUUGAGGUCUAAGUUGGCAUUUAACAUACUUUUACCCAGCUCCAGGGGUCUUUGGGUAACUAUAAAUAGGAAUUGGAGCUAUGGUAAAGCCCCCUUACUUUGCUAAAGAGGUGAAAUGAGGUUUACUGUAAAUAAAUAUUCAGGUGAAAGCUUUUCAAAAAGGCAUGGUCUCUGGGAUUUGUGACAAGAGAUAUAAUUUAAAUAAAGUGAGUACUUAAAAACCAUAUUAUCUUGUUCUCUGUGUAAGGGCAAAACAUGAAUAGGUCACUUAAUAAUUGUAGCUUUGGUGGAAUUUGCUUUUUUUGGAUGGAUGCCCAAGUAGUCUAAAUCAUGUAUACACAUGCUGACAUCACUGGAUGUGAGAUUACAGAAAUGGAGACUUAGAUCUGCCUUUUUAGUAAUUAAAAUUUCUAUUGUAUUAGGUGUUC
Passer domesticus (house sparrow) is the source of this 1292-nucleotide long non-coding RNA. RefSeq lists it as uncharacterized. The transcript has 4 exons. NCBI's taxonomy places the organism in Eukaryota, Metazoa, Chordata, Aves, Passeriformes, Passeridae. The record is from RefSeq and is a predicted model, not a curated record.